This 253-nucleotide ribosomal RNA is filed under the name uncultured bacterium. RNAcentral describes it as "partial 16S ribosomal RNA". It matches the Rfam family "Bacterial small subunit ribosomal RNA", at positions 524 to 776 of the family's 1533-position model. The record is from RNAcentral.
UACGUAGGGUGCGAGCGUUAAUCGGAAUUACUUGGCGUAAAGCGUGCGCAGGCGGUCUCGCAAGUCCGAUGUGAAAUCCCCGGGCUCAACCUGGGAACUGCGUUGGAAACUACGAGGCUGGAGUACGGCAGAGGGGGGUGGAAUUCCACGUGUAGCAGUGAAAUGCGUAGAUAUGUGGAGGAACACCGAUGGCGAAGGCAGCCCCCUGGGCUAGUACUGACGCUCAUGCACGAAAGCGUGGGGAGCAAACAGG